GGACGGCGAGGAGAGGGAGGCGGGCCCGAGUAUUUAAACGUAAGCCGGCCACCGGCUCAUUAGCAGUAUGUCAACUAUCGCAAACAUGAGAGGAACAAAGAUUUUCGCUUUUGCGUUGCUCUUCGCUGCCGCCUUCGCCGAAGAAGGCCCCAAGGGGAAGCCUGCUGGUGAAGACCUUAAGACCGACUCAACAAACAGGUAUUACACGAGCACCUAUGAUAGAUAUCCGUACAGUGGAGGAUAUGGUGGAUACAGCGGGUAUGGAGGAUACUACGGAGGUAGUGGAUAUAGUGGUGGCGGAGGAGGCUACACCGGAAGUACUGGGUACAACGGUGGUGGAUACUACAGUAACAACUACCCCGGAGGUUAUGACAGAUGCAACAGAGGUUACGGAUACGACAGGUAUCCUUCCAGCGGGUAUGACCGGGGCUACGGGUACGACAGAGGAGUAGACAGGGGUUAUUACGACAGAGGGUACAACGGGUACGGCUACAGGCCGGACGGGUACUACAGCGGCGGGCCCACCGGCUACAGGGGAGGAUACGAUAACUACAAAGGAAGAUAUGACCCAUACUACGAUUCAUACUAUAGAGGAGACAGAAAAUUGUAGGUACAACAGGUACGACACGUACAACAGGGUUGGGUACGAUCGUUUCAACAGGAACCCCGAGACGAGGUACUAUGACAAAAGGAU
This 694-nucleotide unclassified non-coding RNA is filed under the name Cimex lectularius (bed bug). RNAcentral's name for it is "prisilkin-39-like, transcript variant X1". Lineage: Eukaryota; Metazoa; Arthropoda; Insecta; Hemiptera; Cimicidae. The record is from RNAcentral.